GUGUAAGUUUGUUAGGAUAGACUUCCUCCAACCUGGAACUAUAUCCUCCAGUCCACGCGGUGGCGGUAACGCGCCUAACAGCUGCGUCUCCGACCAGUAGAAAUCACAGAAGAAGAAAAAGCUGCAGCGGGUAUCUCCUGAGCAGAUGAGUUAUUACACCGAACUAAUCAUCUCCAGAUUAAAUUAUUUCUGACAGUUUUACAGUUAGAUUUGAUCCAGUUUAAAAGUAAAAGCUGGUUAUUUUGUCUGUGUUUGAGGAAUUAAAACUCCGUUCUGUUUUUAAACCCGAGAAUCCCUUCUAUUGUGUGCUGGAAGAUCGCUGGACUUGAAGCAACUCCAAAUGGUGGCCUGUUGGGAAUGAGAAACUCUGACACAACAGUACAUCCUGACCAUUGGUACUGUGUACACAUCAACAUACACACACGUCUCCAUGCUGGACAUCUCAGGAGCUUUCACACAGUGCUAGGAAUAUCACGGGACAGAGAAACGCACCUCCAAAGUGAGCGAGUUUAGUGUCAACCGGUGAAAUUUGCUGUAGCGUGAACGCUUCGCCUCUGUAAGCUUCACUCUCCGUCAGGUUCACUGUAAUUAGACAUAAAAUGUACAUAAUGUUUAUUUUUCAUACAUUUAGGAUUUAAUGUUUUUUUUUUUUUUUACUC
This is a long non-coding RNA of Ictalurus punctatus (channel catfish), 659 nucleotides long. RefSeq lists it as uncharacterized. The record is from RefSeq and is a predicted model, not a curated record. The transcript has 3 exons. NCBI's taxonomy places the organism in Eukaryota, Metazoa, Chordata, Actinopteri, Siluriformes, Ictaluridae.